Molecule: ribosomal RNA, 533 nt
Filed under: uncultured Pseudomonas sp.
Lineage: Bacteria; Pseudomonadati; Pseudomonadota; Gammaproteobacteria; Pseudomonadales; Pseudomonadaceae
Description: bacterial SSU rRNA
Rfam family: Bacterial small subunit ribosomal RNA
Source: RNAcentral
AGAGUUUGAUCCUGGCUCAGGACGAACGCUGGCGGCGUGCUUAACACAUGCAAGUCGAACGGGAUCUGCGUGGCCUUUGUGGUUGUGUGGUGAGAGUGGCGAACGGGUGAGUAACACGUGAGUAACCUGCCUUUUUCUUUGGGAUAACGCUCAGAAAUGGGUGCUAAUACUGGAUGUUCUGCGCUUUCCGCAUGGGGGGUGUGGGAAAGGGGCCUUUGUGGUUUCUGGAGGGAGAUGGGCUCGCGGCUUAUCAGCUUGUUGGUGGGGUGAUGGCUUACCAAGGCUUUGACGGGUAGCCGGCCUGAGAGGGUGGGCGGUCACAUUGGGACUGAGAUACGSCCCAGACUCCUACGGGAGGCAGCAGUGGGGAAUUUUGCACAAUGGGGGGAACCUUGAUGCAGCGACGCCGCGUGAGGGAUGGAGGCCUUCGGGUUGUGAACCUCUUUCGCUCGUGUGCAAGCCGCUAUUUGGGUAGUGGUGAGUGUAGCGGGUAAAGAAGCGCCGGCUAACUACGUGCCAGCAGCCGCGGUAAU